AAAACAGCCAUGAUCGGGACAACAGUCUGAACAGGGCCACAGAGAGCCGGGUUGGGUGGAAGCCGGCGCCACUGACAGUCUGGUCUCACCCGGGAGCUGCCCUCGUGAAAGUGUGAUCCACACGAGUAAUUGGGGCCGGGUUUUCAGAACCCGUUAUCAAAAGGCACAGGGUAUGUAUGUAUUUUGUGCAUGAGUGGCUCUUGCUAAGAGCAAUCAGGGUGGUACCGCGGAAGGAUAAACCUCUCGUCCCUGGC
RNAcentral lists this non-coding RNA (254 nucleotides) under Desulforamulus putei. RNAcentral's name for it is "Desulfotomaculum putei T-box sequence". It matches the Rfam family "T-box leader". From Rfam's summary of the family: Uncharged tRNA acts as the effector for transcription antitermination of genes in the T-box leader family. T-boxes are found upstream of many aminoacyl-tRNA synthetase genes and some amino acid biosynthetic genes usually in Gram-positive bacteria. Lineage: Bacteria; Bacillati; Bacillota; Clostridia; Eubacteriales; Peptococcaceae. The record is from RNAcentral.